UUGGACAGUUAGUGCAUCUUUGCUCAACAACGUGCAUGCAUUUUAAUUACACAGUUUUCCUCUUUUGCUGCCUAAUAGCUAUAUGAUAUGCUUUAAUUUAAUUACCAAAUGAUGAGAACUUUGCUCUCCUGAGUUGUUUCCCUAUUGUCUCCUAUGAUUAUUAGACAAUUAGUCUUUUAUUUGUAGACUACUUGCCACAGUCUUUUCUUAGAGACUCUGGGGCACCUGGACUUGAAGAAAGAGCUGACUGGUUAUUUAAACAUUUACAUUAGCUGGAAUUGACAGUCAUAUCUCUUAACACUAUGACAGUGUGAUGGAAGUGAUAAGUAGCUGAAGUAAGGAAACUUGGGCCACCCACCUAUGAGCAAUGAGAAUGAAGCCCAAAGUACGCACCAUUGGCCAAAAUAAGAGAAAGUUUGUCAUCUUUCAGGUGGUGCCUUGCUGGAGUCCUUCCUAAGGAUUGCCAGUGUAGAACUAGAGAAGG
Molecule: long non-coding RNA, 484 nt
Filed under: Dromaius novaehollandiae (emu)
Lineage: Eukaryota; Metazoa; Chordata; Aves; Casuariiformes; Dromaiidae
Description: lncRNA (ENSDNVG00000008899.1)
Source: RNAcentral